GGGAGCCGGAGGGAAACCGAGUCUUAACCGGGCGUUAAGUUGCAGGGUAUAGACCCGAAACCCGGUGAUCUAGCCAUGGGCAGGUUGAAGGUUGGGUAACACUAACUGGAGGACCGAACCGACUAAUGUUGAAAAAUUAGCGGAUGACCUGUGGCUGGGGGUGAAAGGCCAAUCAAACCGGGAGAUAGCUGGUUCUCCCCGAAAGCUAUUUAGGUAGCGCCUCGUGAAUUCAUCUCCGGGGGUAGAGCACUGUUUCGGCUAGGGGGCCAUCCCGGCUUACCAACCCGAUGCAAACUGCGAAUACCGGAGAAUGUUAUCACGGGAGACACACGGCGGGUGCUAACGUCCGUCGUGAAGAGGGAAACAACCCAGACCGCCAGCUAAGGUCCCAAAGUCAUGGUUAAGUGGGAAACGAUGUGGGAAGGCCCAGACAGCCAGGAUGUUGGCUUAGAAGCAGCCAUCAUUUAAAGAAAGCGUAAUAGCUCACUGGUCGAGUCGGCCUGCGCGGAAGAUGUAACGGGGCUAAACCAUGCACCGAAGCUGCGGCAGCGAACGUAUCACUUAAAGCGAUUCAGCGGGUUACGAUUGACGGAGCGAAGCGACGUCAAAGCGUAUACAAAGUCGAGUCGGUUUAAGGAUACGUUCGUUGGGUAGGGGAGCGUUCUGUAAGCCUGUGAAGGUGUGUCGUGAGGCAUGCUGGAGGUAUCAGAAGUGCGAAUGCUGACAUAAGUAACGAUAAAGCGGGUGAAAAGCCCGCUCGCCGGAAGACCAAGGGUUCCUGUCCAACGUUAAUCGGGGCAGGGUGAGUCGACCCCUAAGGCGAGGCCGAAAGGCGUAGUCGAUGGGAAACGGGUUAAUAUUCCCGUACUUGGUGUUACUGCGAAGGGGGGACGGAGAAGGCUAUGUUGGCCGGGCGACGGUUGUCCCGGUUUAAGCGUGUAGGUGUGUGUUCCAGGUAAAUCCGGUUCACUUUAACACUGAGGCGUGACGACGAGGCACUACGGUGCUGAAGCAACAAAUGCCCUGCUUCCAGGAAAAGCCUCUAAGCAUCAGGUAACAUCAAAUCGUACCCCAAACCGACACAGGUGGUCAGGUAGAGAAUACCAAGGCGCUUGAGAGAACUCGGGUGAAGGAACUAGGCAAAAUGGUGCCGUAACUUCGGGAGAAGGCACGCUGACACGUAGGUGAAGUGAUUUACUCAUGGAGCUGAAGUCAGUCGAAGAUACCAGCUGGCUGCAACUGUUUAUUAAAAACACAGCACUGUGCAAACACGAAAGUGGACGUAUACGGUGUGACGCCUGCCCGGUGCCGGAAGGUUAAUUGAUGGGGUCAGCGCAAGCGAAGCUCCUGAUCGAAGCCCCGGUAAACGGCGGCCGUAACUAUAACGGUCCUAAGGUAGCGAAAUUCCUUGUCGGGUAAGUUCCGACCUGCACGAAUGGCGUAAUGAUGGCCAGGCUGUCUCCACCCGAGACUCAGUGAAAUUGAACUCGCUGUGAAGAUGCAGUGUACCCGCGGCAAGACGGAAAGACCCCGUGAACCUUUACUAUAGCUUGACACUGAACAUUGAGCCUUGAUGUGUAG
RNAcentral lists this ribosomal RNA (1581 nucleotides) under Salmonella enterica subsp. enterica serovar Newport. RNAcentral's name for it is "partial 23S ribosomal RNA". It matches the Rfam family "Bacterial large subunit ribosomal RNA", at positions 661 to 2141 of the family's 2925-position model. The record is from RNAcentral. Lineage: Bacteria; Pseudomonadati; Pseudomonadota; Gammaproteobacteria; Enterobacterales; Enterobacteriaceae.